RNAcentral lists this ribosomal RNA (493 nucleotides) under uncultured bacterium. RNAcentral's name for it is "bacterial SSU rRNA". It matches the Rfam family "Bacterial small subunit ribosomal RNA", at positions 30 to 518 of the family's 1533-position model. The record is from RNAcentral.
UGAACGCUAGCGACAGGCCUAACACAUGCAAGUCGAGGGGCAGCACAAGGAGCAAUCUGAGGUGGCGACCGGCGCACGGGUGAGUAACACGUAUGCAACCUGCCUGUAAGCGGGGAAUAACCCGUUGAAAGACGGACUAAUACCGCAUAAUACUAAAUUACUGCAUGGUAAUUUAUUUAAACAUCUAUGGCUUACAGAUGGGCAUGCGCAUGAUUAGCUAGUUGGAGAGGUAACGGCUCCCCAAGGCAACGAUCAUUAGGGGUUCUGAGAGGAAGGUCCCCCACACUGGUACUGAGACACGGACCAGACUCCUACGGGAGGCAGCAGUGAGGAAUAUUGGUCAAUGGACGAGAGUCUGAACCAGCCAAGUCGCGUGCAGGAAGAAUGUCCUAUGGAUUGUAAACUGCUUUUGCAGGGGAAUAAAGUGCAUCACGUGUGAUGUUUUGUAUGUACUCUGCGAAUAAGGAUCGGCUAACUCCGUGCCAGCAGCAGC